This 80-nucleotide ribosomal RNA is filed under the name Sinocyclocheilus rhinocerous. The record is from RNAcentral. Lineage: Eukaryota; Metazoa; Chordata; Actinopteri; Cypriniformes; Cyprinidae.
GAUGGCGGUUAUAUCCGCGGGCGCUGCGGAUGGUCAGUACCUGGAUGGGAGACCUCCUGGGAAAAACUAGGCUGCUGUUG